This 561-nucleotide ribosomal RNA is filed under the name Arthrobacter sp. 4-50(2012). Its description in RNAcentral is "bacterial SSU rRNA". It matches the Rfam family "Bacterial small subunit ribosomal RNA", at positions 882 to 1442 of the family's 1533-position model. Lineage: Bacteria; Bacillati; Actinomycetota; Actinomycetes; Micrococcales; Micrococcaceae. The record is from RNAcentral.
ACGGCCGCAAGGCUAAAACUCAAAGGAAUUGACGGGGGCCCGCACAAGCGGCGGAGCAUGCGGAUUAAUUCGAUGCAACGCGAAGAACCUUACCAAGGCUUGACAUGUGCCAGACCGCUCCAGAGAUGGGGUUUCCCUUCGGGGCUGGUUCACAGGUGGUGCAUGGUUGUCGUCAGCUCGUGUCGUGAGAUGUUGGGUUAAGUCCCGCAACGAGCGCAACCCUCGUUCCAUGUUGCCAGCACGUAGUGGUGGGGACUCAUGGGAGACUGCCGGGGUCAACUCGGAGGAAGGUGGGGAUGACGUCAAAUCAUCAUGCCCCUUAUGUCUUGGGCUUCACGCAUGCUACAAUGGCCGGUACAAUGGGUUGCGAUACUGUGAGGUGGAGCUAAUCCCUAAAAGCCGGUCUCAGUUCGGAUUGGGGUCUGCAACUCGACCCCAUGAAGUCGGAGUCGCUAGUAAUCGCAGAUCAGCAACGCUGCGGUGAAUACGUUCCCGGGCCUUGUACACACCGCCCGUCAAGUCACGAAAGUUGGUAACACCCGAAGCCGAUGGCCUAACCAC